GACGAACGCUGGCGGCGUGCUUAACACAUGCAAGUCGAGCGGUAAGGCCCUUUCGGGGGUACACGAGCGGCGAACGGGUGAGUAACACGUGGGUGACCUGCCCUCAGCUCUGGGAUAAGCCUGGGAAACCGGGUCUAAUACUGGAUAUGACUCCAUGACGCAUGUUGUGGGGUGGAAAGCCUUGUGCGGCUGAGGAUGGGCCCGCGGCCUAUCAGCUUGUUGGUGGGGUGANGGCCUACCAAGGCGACGACGGGUAGCCGGCCUGAGAGGGCGACCGGCCACACUGGGACUGAGACACGGGCCCAGACUCCUACGGGAGGCAGCAGGUGGGGAAUCUUGCGCAAUGGGCGAAAGCCUGACGCAGCGACGCCGCGUGAGGGA
RNAcentral lists this ribosomal RNA (381 nucleotides) under uncultured bacterium. RNAcentral describes it as "bacterial SSU rRNA". It matches the Rfam family "Bacterial small subunit ribosomal RNA", at positions 28 to 408 of the family's 1533-position model. The record is from RNAcentral.